GUGGUCGUAGCUUAAUUGGUAAAGCUCCGGUUUGUGGUACCGGCGAUCUGUGGGUUCGAGUCCCAUCGACCACC
Molecule: transfer RNA, 74 nt
Filed under: Candidatus Kaiserbacteria bacterium
Lineage: Bacteria; Candidatus Kaiseribacteriota
Description: tRNA-His
Rfam family: tRNA
About the family: Transfer RNA (tRNA) molecules are approximately 80 nucleotides in length. Their secondary structure includes four short double-helical elements and three loops (D, anti-codon, and T loops).
Source: RNAcentral